UACGUAGGUGGCGUGCGUUGUCCGGAUUUACUGGGCGUAAAGGAUGCGUAGGUGGAAAUUUAAGUGGGAUGUGAAAUCCCCGGGCUCAACCCGGGAACUGCAUUCCAAACUGGAUUUCUUGAGUACAGGAGAGGAAAGCGGAAUUCCUAGUGUAGCGGUGAAAUGCGUAGAUAUUAGGAGGAACACCAGUGGCGAAGGCGGCUUUCUGGACUGUAACUGACACUGAGGCAUGAAAGCGUGGGUAGCAAACAGGAUUAGAUACCCUGGUAGUCCCUGA
Molecule: ribosomal RNA, 277 nt
Filed under: uncultured prokaryote
Description: partial 16S ribosomal RNA
Rfam family: Bacterial small subunit ribosomal RNA
Source: RNAcentral